GACGAACGCUGGCGGCGUGCUUAACACAUGCAAGUCGAACGGAAAGGCCCCUUUGGGGGUACUCGAGUGGCGAACGGGUGAGUAACACGUGAGUAACCUGCCCUUGACUUCGGGAUAACUUCAGGAAACUGGGGCUAAUACCGGAUAGGAAUCCUUGCUGCAUGGUGGGGGUUGGAAAGCUUCGGCGGUUUUGGAUGGACUCGCGGCUUAUCAGCUUGUUGGUGAGGUAGUGGCUUACCAAGGCUUUGACGGGUAGCCGGCCUGAGAGGGCGACCGGCCACAUUGGGACUGAGAUACGGCCCAGACUCCUACGGGAGGCAGCAGUGGGGAAUAUUGCACAAUGGGCGGAAGCCUGAUGCAGCAACGCCGCGUGCGGGAUGACGGCCUUCGGGUUGUAAACCGCUUUCAGCAGGGGCGAAGCUUGUGGUGACGGUACCUGCAGAAGAAGCACCGGCUAACUACGUG
RNAcentral lists this ribosomal RNA (465 nucleotides) under uncultured bacterium. Its description in RNAcentral is "partial 16S ribosomal RNA". It matches the Rfam family "Bacterial small subunit ribosomal RNA", at positions 28 to 507 of the family's 1533-position model. The record is from RNAcentral.